ACAAUUGUGUGAGUUGAGUACA
Molecule: microRNA, 22 nt
Filed under: Columba livia (rock pigeon)
Lineage: Eukaryota; Metazoa; Chordata; Aves; Columbiformes; Columbidae
Description: cli-miR-1416-3p
Source: miRBase by way of RNAcentral